GCUUCCUUGGCUCAGUUGGUAGAGCGUUGGUCUCAUACACAGAGUAUGAGUAAUCAGAUUGAUUACAUAACCCACAUCCAAAGGUCGCCAGUUCGAGCCUGGCAGGGAGCA
Ceratobasidium sp. 414 is the source of this 111-nucleotide non-coding RNA. The record is from the annotation of a GenBank genome assembly. NCBI's taxonomy places the organism in Eukaryota, Fungi, Basidiomycota, Agaricomycetes, Cantharellales, Ceratobasidiaceae.